UGGGGAAUUUUGGACAAUGGGGGCAACCCUGAUCCAGCAAUGCCGCGUGAGUGAAGAAGGCCUUCGGGUUGUAAAGCUCUUUUGUUCGGAAAGAAAUCGCUCUGGCUAAUAUCCGGAGUGGAUGACGGUACCGGAAGAAUAAGCACCGGCUAACUACGUGCCAGCAGCCGCGGUAAUACGUAGGGUGCGAGCGUUAAUCGGAAUUACUGGGCGUAAAGCGUGCGCAGGCGGUUGUGCAAGACAGAUGUGAAAUCCCCGGGCUCAACCUGGGAAUUGCAUUUGUGACUGCACGGCUAGAGUGUGUCAGAGGGGGGUAGAAUUCCACGUGUAGCAGUGAAAUGCGUAGAGAUGUGGAGGAAUACCGAUGGCGAAGGCAGCCCCCUGGGAUAACACUGACGCUCAUGCACGAAAGCGUGGGGAGCAAACA
RNAcentral lists this ribosomal RNA (427 nucleotides) under uncultured Noviherbaspirillum sp. RNAcentral's name for it is "bacterial SSU rRNA". It matches the Rfam family "Bacterial small subunit ribosomal RNA", at positions 355 to 774 of the family's 1533-position model. Lineage: Bacteria; Pseudomonadati; Pseudomonadota; Betaproteobacteria; Burkholderiales; Oxalobacteraceae. The record is from RNAcentral.